CACUUCAGUUGAAAAUGGAGGGGAUGAGCUGUGGGUAGGGGUGAAAGGCCAAUCAAACUUCGUGAUAGCUGGUUCUCCCCGAAAUGCAUUUAGGUGCAGCGUUGCGUGUUUCUUGCCGGAGGUAGAGCUACUGGAUGGCUAAUGGGCCCUACCAGGUUACUGACGUCAGCCAAACUCCGAAUGCCGGUAAGUGAGAGCGCAGCAGUGAGACCGUGGGGAAUAAGCUUCAUGGUCGAGAGGGAAACAGCCCAGACCACCGACUAAGGCCCCUAAGCGUGUGCUAAGUGGGAAAGGAUGUGGAGUUGCUUAGACAACCAGGAGGUUGGCUUAGAAGCAGCCACCCUUGAAAGAGUGCGUAAUAGCUCACUGG
This 370-nucleotide non-coding RNA is filed under the name Tersicoccus phoenicis. Its description in RNAcentral is "Arthrobacter sp. 1P05MA Bacterial large subunit ribosomal RNA". It matches the Rfam family "Bacterial large subunit ribosomal RNA", at positions 781 to 1148 of the family's 2925-position model. Lineage: Bacteria; Bacillati; Actinomycetota; Actinomycetes; Micrococcales; Micrococcaceae. The record is from Rfam by way of RNAcentral.